UGUAUAGUAGGUAGUUAUCCAAUUGACAGUGCUCCCGUCUGACAUAGUUCAGUCGAUGGCGAACUUAGAGGAUGAUCUGACAUCCCUGACCGCGCUAAAAGACCACCUUGUUCCCCGUUAUUAAUAUUUUCCAUCUCGUUAAUCCGCCAAAUUAGGCCCCGGCUCUAACCGAAAGCCACGAUCGGAUAAACGAAACGUCGAUAAGAAUCACUUCGACCGUCCAAGCCGACUUUAACCCUGACCGUAAUUUAUUUAUAAAAUGUAAAAAAAAUAUAAAAAGGUAUACGCGCGCAGAAACUUCAUUUGCGGUCCCGUCGUAUAGUGCGAGGAAAAGUGUUCCGAGUUAAGUUUCAACGAGGCUAUCAACUGGAAGGAUGUAGUGCAAUAACGAAGGCUUCUUCUAUUUCCUUUUAAGCCGAAUAAACUUUUAGUGAGGAAGACAAAGCAGAGUGGAAACAGUGGGAGAACUUUGACCGGAGAUUUCCUGUAAACUAUCGCUAGGGGGAGUUUAAUUCUCAUGAAUCAUGUAAAUUGGAAGCACUUUACGCGGGGGAUUUUUCUGGUGACAUUCAGUGACGUCACGGUGUCUCGAUUGUCAAGGGAAAUGUCAGUGUCAAGAAUUCAGUAUGGCCACUGAUUUCUGCCCUAAUGGAACCCUAAAGGCAGCGUCCAGCAGGGCCGUAGGCGACAUGAGGCAGCGCAAGACAGCGGCGCUGGGCGCCGCGACGACCCUUGCGCCGGAGGAGGAGCAGCUCAAGUUUCAAGACAGCAGCAGGUUCCUCACGACUCUGGUUCUCGGGAGAAGUAGGAAAAUCUCGCCGGACGUGUUGCCGUCCUGUUCGCCAGGAGUCUUCCGCCAGAAGUCGUUCCGGGCGACGCCGAGCGACGUCAUCGCUACCGUCGCGGCGGCGCCGACGGGACAGCAGCCGAGGAGCGCCGCGGGUACCGGAAACGGCAACUCCGCGACCUCCCCGCCUGCGCAGACCCAAGGCGCAGGGGCGAGCGCGCGCAUCAAGAGCGCCGCCGGGGCAGCUUGGGGCGCCAGAGGCGCCGGUAAACACACGCGUCUCGGCACGGCACUGGCCAACAAAAUGGCGUCAGCGAGCUCCACCGCGGUCGUGCAGGGCUGGCCCAACACCAAGGACGACUACGAGCUCAAAGAGGUCAUCGGUGUUGGAGCAACGGCCGUGGUGCACGCCGCCUUCUGCAUUCCCCGUCAGGAAAAAUGUGCAAUCAAACGUAUCAACCUCGAGAAAUGGAACACAAGCAUGGACGAGUUAUUGAAAGAAAUCCAAGCAAUGUCGUCCUGCAAUCACGAAAACGUAGUAACUUACUAUACAUCAUUCGUUGUAAAAGAAGAAUUGUGGCUGGUCCUCAGACUACUGGAAGGUGGAUCCUUACUUGACAUAAUCAAACAUAAAACUAGAACCACGAAUUGCAAACACGGCGUUUUCGACGAGCCAACCAUUGCGACGGUACUUCGAGAGGUGCUCAAGGGUCUCGAAUAUUUCCAUAGUAAUGGACAAAUACACAGAGAUAUAAAGGCGGGCAACAUACUCCUAGGAGAGGAUGGAACUGUGCAAAUCGCGGACUUUGGCGUCAGCGCGUGGCUGGCGACCGGACGAGAUCUCAGUAGACAAAAAGUUAGGCAUACCUUCGUGGGCACUCCCUGCUGGAUGGCACCAGAGGUCAUGGAGCAGGUAAGAGAGGACCACGGGUAUGACUUCAAGGCUGAUAUUUGGUCGUUGGGCAUCACUGCCAUUGAAAUGGCAAGCGGGACCGCGCCUUAUCACAAGUAUCCCCCGAUGAAGGUGCUUAUGCUCACUUUGCAAAAUGAUCCGCCGACUUUGGACACUGCUGCUGACGACAAAGACCAGUACAAAGCCUAUGGCAAAACAUUCCGGAAGAUGAUAGUCGACUGCUUGCAAAAGGACCCCACGAAAAGGCCGACAGCCACUGAAUUAUUAAAACAUCCCUUCUUCAAAAAGGCCAAGGAUAAGAAGUAUUUACAGCAGACACUGGUGGCCAUCGGACCAAGUUUAGAAACGCGAGUACAAAAGGCAUCAAAAAGACAGCCUGGUACAUCGGGUCGGUUGCAUAGAACUGUAACUGGAGAAUGGGUUUGGUCUUCAGAAGAGGAGGAUAGUGGCGCUUCAAGUGGCGAGGAAAGUAAAGAGACGUUACCGGUUAAUACUAUCGAUAACGGCAGUAGUGAAGAAGAGGCGCCCGAACCCGAAGAUUCUUUCGGCCAAGUCAAAACUGCACGCAGCCAUGUCGUCAUUCAGGCAGCCGAACAGAACGACCCUAUUAACCUAGUCCUUAGACUCCGGAAUCAGAAGCGGGAGCUCAACGACAUCCGGUUCGAGUUCGCGGUUGGCAUCGAUUCCGCAGAAGGAAUCGCUGCAGAACUCGUUGGGGCAGGUCUCGUAGACGGAAAGGAUAUUGUCGUGAUAGCAGCGAAUCUGCAGAAGCUUAUCGAUAGCGGUGGCCAGCUCCGUACGGUGACGUUUUCUCUGAAUUCAGGGUACGCGGCGAACGAAGUUCCGGACGACAAGGCGCUAAUCGGAUUCGCCCAGAUCUCCAUAACCGAUUAAACAUGUCUGGAAGUACGCUAGAAAUCUCAGGAUUUACGUUCUCAAGUGAUACUUAGGAGAAGUGAGAGUUCUUGUUGGAAGCUGUAGGCCCGGUGUCCUUACGACAACGUCGAGUCGAAGUAUUACGAAGUACACUUAGGGUACCCUUCGGCAUACGACGGUCACGGCCACGUCCCGGGAGAGCUAGAAAUCGUACCGCGGACUGAACUCAGUACCUUCGUUUCCUUGACGCCCCCUAAGAGAUAUCGUCAGACCUCGAUAACAAGGCGUGUAUACUGACUACCAUAGGUGAGAAGUCACGAUAAACAUCUGUUUACAACAAAAUUUGGAUAUGAUUAUAUCGGAUAAGUACCCAGGUUUGUAUGUGAUGACGUUCGUCCUCAUCCGAAAAAGAAAAAAUCACAAACGAGUGCACGUCAAUUUCUGUACUGGUUUCAGGCUCUGCUCUCGCUUUGACAGCCGAUCAUCGGCUAGGAAAAAUUCAUGUAAUCGAUUCGCGACAUUUCUCCGUUACGUUACUACUUUCUGUAAAUAUUAGCAUUUUAUUAUGUCGUCCAUUUUGUUCUUGGUUCUUUCUUCUCCUCAAGCGUCGCUAGCGAAGAGCUAGAAAAGAAACGAGAUCUUAAUCAUAUCGAAAUUCGCGUUACCGAGAGAACUAAUGGUGAUUUUACAAUGGUGCUUAUGCAUCCAAUUUACUUAUCUCUGGAAUACCUAGUGCGUUUUAUGUGGCGGAAAAAAUCGGUUGGAGUAAGUUAGGGUAUCCUGUUAUCCGUAGAAUCGUAUAAGAGACGUCGAUGUUAUAGAAGUAUGAUACUCACGUAUCACGAUUUAAUCCCAGUGAAAUGCGAAUUGAUACUUCAGACAAGACCUUGGUACCUAUUUGAGAUAAUUAUAACCAAAAUUCGCUAUAAAAGAACGUUUACCAUUGCUUUGCAAACAGUCAUCGAUAGAUAUCCGUGCAUGAUAAGGUAUUUCAAUAAUUAAUUACUAAAGAUCUUGAAUAUAUUCAAUUAAGCCCCGAGUUCUUUGAACGUACUUGAGAGAAGUGCUUGAGCUUGAUUGUUUUUUCUUUUUCUUUCUUCCCGUUUCUUUCAAACGAACUCGUGGAUCUCGGUACUCAAUUUGAAAAACUUUUAUCGGUUAACGUUCGGGAUUGAACGCAGGUAUACGUACUGAUUCCUAAAAUGAGAUUGCAAGCAUCGUGCAGAAUAGAAUUUCACGCAGAACCAUUCCAAAUAGAUGUCCAGGUCUGACGCUCGAGAUACCUCUUGGUCGUGUCUUUCGUCGAAUAGAACUCACUUUAUCAACUCUUUAGUACAAAGCAUAAAUUAUCGAGUAACCUUCGUGCUUCGUACGCAGACUUUAGGUAUUAGGUAAUUGUUCGGGAGUACUAAUGAAAGAAGGGGAGGAAGGAAAAAAGAAACGAUGUUGUUUUGUACUUAAUCGAAUAGGACGCGCGCGCGCGCAGCGAUAUAUUGUACCUACUCUCAUAUUUUCACGACUUCGCGCGGAGCGGCUAUCGUAGGAGAAUUUUUUAACUUUCCACUCGCCUGGCAUACUUUAAUGAGUAGAACGAACGAGUUUUAGGUCCUUUACUAGGAUUAAGAGAAAAAGAGAAGUCGAUAUAUGUCGAAGCGGAAUUUAAUUUAGCGCGGUUAAGGGGAUGUGAAAGUGGCAU
Molecule: unclassified non-coding RNA, 4272 nt
Filed under: Orussus abietinus
Lineage: Eukaryota; Metazoa; Arthropoda; Insecta; Hymenoptera; Orussidae
Description: serine/threonine-protein kinase OSR1, transcript variant X3
Source: RNAcentral